This 513-nucleotide ribosomal RNA is filed under the name uncultured bacterium. RNAcentral's name for it is "partial 16S ribosomal RNA". It matches the Rfam family "Bacterial small subunit ribosomal RNA", at positions 28 to 523 of the family's 1533-position model. The record is from RNAcentral.
GAUGAACGCUGGCGGCGUGCCUAAUACAUGCAAGUCGAGCGAACAGACGAGGAGCUUGCUCCUCUAACGUUAGCGGCGGACGGGUGAGUAACACGUGGAUAACCUACCUAUAAGACUGGGAUAACUUCGGGAAACCGGAGCUAAUACCGGAUAAUAUAUUGAACCGCAUGGUUCAAUAGUGAAAGACGGUUUUGCUGUCACUUAUAGAUGGAUCCGCGCCGCAUUAGCUAGUUGGUAAGGUAACAGCUUACCAAGGCAACGAUGCGUAGCCGACCUGAGAGGGUGAUCGGGCACACUGGAACUGAGACACGGUCCAGAAUCCUACGGGAGGCAGCAGUAGGGAAGCUUCCGCAAUGGGCGAAAGCCUGACGGAGCAACGCCGCGUGAGUGAUGAAGGUCUUCGGAUCGUAAAACUCUGUUAUUAGGGAAGAACAAAUGUGUAAGUAACUAUGCACGUCUUGACGGUACCUAAUCAGAGAGCCACGGCUAACUACGUGCCAGCCGCCGCAGUAA